RNAcentral lists this ribosomal RNA (425 nucleotides) under uncultured bacterium. Its description in RNAcentral is "bacterial SSU rRNA". It matches the Rfam family "Bacterial small subunit ribosomal RNA", at positions 353 to 791 of the family's 1533-position model. The record is from RNAcentral.
UGGGGGAAAUCUUGGACAAUGGGCGCAAGCCUGAUCCAGCCAUGCCGCGUGGAGUGAUGAAGGCCUUAGGGUUUGUAAAAACUCCUUUCGCCGAGGACGAUAAUGACGGUACUCGGAGAAGAAGCUCCGGCUAACUUCGUGCCAGCAGCCGCGGUAAUACGAAGGGGGCUAGCGUUGUUCGGAUUUACUGGGCGUAAAGCGCGUGUAGGCGGGUCGUUAAGUUGGGGGUGAAAUCCCGAGGCUCAACCUCGGAACUGCGUUUGAUACUGUCGAGCUAGAGUGUGGAAGGGGCGAUUGGAAUUCCGUGUGUAGCGGUGAAAUGCGUAGAUAUACGGAGGAACACCAGAGGCGAAGGCGGAUCGCUGGGCCAACACUGACGCUGAGACGCGAAAGCUAGGGUAGCAAACGGGAUUAGAUACCCCAGU